UACGAGAGGCCCAAACGUUAUUCGGAAUUACUGGGCGUAAAGGGCGCGUAGGCGGCGUGUCAAGUCAGGCGUGAAAGCCCCGGGCUCAACCCGGGAACUGCGUCCGAUACUGGAAGGCUUGAAUCCGGGAGAGGGAUGUGGAAUUCCAGGUGUAGCGGUGAAAUGCGUAGAUAUCUGGAGGAACACCGGUGGCGAAGGCGACAUCCUGGACCGGUAUUGACGCUGAGGCGCGAAAGCCAGGGGAGCAAACGGG
RNAcentral lists this ribosomal RNA (253 nucleotides) under uncultured bacterium. RNAcentral's name for it is "partial 16S ribosomal RNA". It matches the Rfam family "Bacterial small subunit ribosomal RNA", at positions 524 to 776 of the family's 1533-position model. The record is from RNAcentral.